ACGAACGCUGGCGGCGUGCUUAACACAUGCAAGUCGCACGGAAAGGCCCUGCUUUUGUGGGGUGCUCGAGUGGCGAACGGGUGAGUAACACGUGAGUAACCUGCCCUUGACUUUGGGAUAACUUCAGGAAACUGGGGCUAAUACCGGAUAGGAGCUCCUGCUGCAUGGUGGGGGUUGGAAAGUUUCGGCGGUUGGGGAUGGACUCGCGGCUUAUCAGCUUGUUGGUGGGGUAGUGGCUUACCAAGGCUUUGACGGGUAGCCGGCCUGAGAGGGUGACCGGCCACAUUGGGACUGAGAUACGGCCCAGACUCCUACGGGAGGCAGCAGUGGGGAAUAUUGCACAAUGGGCGGUAGCCUGAUGCAGCAACGCCGCGUGCGGGAUGACGGCCUUCGGGUUGUAAACCGCUUUCGCCUGUGACGAAGCGUGAGUGACGGUAAUGGGUAAAGAAGCACCGGCUAACUACGUG
RNAcentral lists this ribosomal RNA (467 nucleotides) under uncultured bacterium. RNAcentral's name for it is "partial 16S ribosomal RNA". It matches the Rfam family "Bacterial small subunit ribosomal RNA", at positions 29 to 507 of the family's 1533-position model. The record is from RNAcentral.